ACUGCCGCCGGACGGAACCGGUCACGAGGGUUGGGGAGCCCGUUGACUGACAGGUAUCCGAGUUCGGAACGGGUCUUAGGGAGCCCGGACUGGACGUUCUGGCGAAGGAG
Non-coding RNA from Actinomyces sp. oral taxon 849, 110 nucleotides. NCBI's taxonomy places the organism in Bacteria, Bacillati, Actinomycetota, Actinomycetes, Actinomycetales, Actinomycetaceae. The record is from Rfam.